RNAcentral lists this ribosomal RNA (221 nucleotides) under uncultured bacterium. RNAcentral describes it as "partial 16S ribosomal RNA". It matches the Rfam family "Bacterial small subunit ribosomal RNA", at positions 115 to 334 of the family's 1533-position model. The record is from RNAcentral.
ACGUGGGUGGACCUCGCCCUUAGCUCUGGGAUAAGCCUGGGAAACUGGGUCUAAUACCGGAUAUGACUCCAUGACGCAUGUUGUGGGGUGGAAAGCCUUGUGCGGCUAGGGAUGGGCCCGCGGCCUAUCAGCUUGUUGGUGGGGUGAUGGCCUACCAAGGCGACGACGGGUAGCCGGCCUGAGAGGGCGACCGGCCACACUGGGACUGAGACACGGCCCAG